CCCUUAGAUGUUCUGGGCCGCACACGAGCUACACUGAAGGAGGCAGCGUGUACUCCUGGAUCGAAAGAUUUGGGUAACCCGCGAAUCUCCUUCGUGCUAGGGAUUGAGGUUUGCAAUUAUCCUUCAUGAACGAGGAAUUCCCAGUAAGUGCAAGUCAUAAGCUUGCGCUGACUACGUCCCUGCCCUUUGUACACACCGCCCGUCGCUACUACCGAUUGAAUGAUUUAGUGAGGACUUCGGACUGGGACCGAUGCGGCUUUCGGGCUGCGUCGGUAUUCUGGAAAGAUGUCCAAACUGUAUCAUUUAGAGGAAGUAAAANUCGUANCA
RNAcentral lists this ribosomal RNA (327 nucleotides) under uncultured eukaryote. RNAcentral's name for it is "partial 18S ribosomal RNA". It matches the Rfam family "Eukaryotic small subunit ribosomal RNA", at positions 1470 to 1796 of the family's 1831-position model. The record is from RNAcentral.